AUUGAACGCUGGCGGCAGGCUUAACACAUGCAAGUCGAACGAGUGGCGGACGGGUGAGUAAUGCUUGGGAAUCUCGCUUAUGGAGGGGGAUAACUACGGGAAACUGUAGCUAAUACCGCGUACCAUAGGAUGAGCCCAAGUGGGAUUAGGUAGUUGGUGAGGUAAAGGCUCACCAAGCAGACGAUCCCUAGCUGGUCUGAGAGGAUGACCAGCCACAGUGGGACGGAGACACGGUCCAUACUCCUACGGGAGGCAGCAGUGGGGAAUAUUGCGAAAUGGGGGCAACCUGACGAAGCCAUGCCGCGUGAAUGAAGAAGGCCUUCGGGUUGUAAAGUUCUUUCGGUAGCGAGGCGUUAACUACAGAAGAAGCACCGGCUAACUCCGUGCCAGCCGCCGCGGUAAUAC
Molecule: ribosomal RNA, 405 nt
Filed under: uncultured bacterium
Lineage: Bacteria
Description: partial 16S ribosomal RNA
Rfam family: Bacterial small subunit ribosomal RNA
Source: RNAcentral